Molecule: ribosomal RNA, 497 nt
Filed under: uncultured bacterium
Lineage: Bacteria
Description: partial 16S ribosomal RNA
Rfam family: Bacterial small subunit ribosomal RNA
Source: RNAcentral
GACGAACGCUGGCGGCGUGCCUAAUACAUGCAAGUAGAACGCUGAAGAGAGGAGCUUGCUCUUCUUGGAUGAGUUGCGAACGGGUGAGUAACGCGUAGGUAACCUGCCUGGUAGCGGGGGAUAACUAUUGGAAACGAUAUCUAAUACCGCAUAAAAUUGAUUAUGUCAUGACACUUAAUUGAAAGAUGCAACUGCAUCACUACCAGAUGGACCUGCGUUGGAUUAGGUAGGUGGUGAGGUAACGGCCCAACAAGGCGACGGCACAGGGCCGGGCUGGGAGGGAGGACCGCCACACUUGGACUGGGACACGGCCCAGAAUCCUACGGGGGGCAACCAGAGGGGAUCUUCGGAAAUGGGGGGAACCCUGGACGCGCAACGCCGCGUGGGUGGAGAAGGGUUUCGGGUCGUUAAGGUCUGUUGUGAGAGGAGAAAGGGUGUGAGGGUAGAAAGUUCACGCUGUGACGGUAUCUUAACAAAAAGGGACGGCUAACUACGUG